UAAUGAAGGAGUAAAAAGAAGCCCUACAGUCAUAGGACUUCUCAUAGCAGAACCGUUUAAGACGGUUGACAUUUUAGAUGUGAUA
This 85-nucleotide small RNA is filed under the name Lapidilactobacillus concavus DSM 17758. RNAcentral describes it as "Lactobacillus concavus DSM 17758 RNA anti-toxin A". It matches the Rfam family "RNA anti-toxin A". The record is from Rfam by way of RNAcentral. Lineage: Bacteria; Bacillati; Bacillota; Bacilli; Lactobacillales; Lactobacillaceae.